ACCCACGUCGUUAGUUGCCAGCAUUUAGUUGGGCACUCUAGCGAGACCGCCGGUGAUAAACCGGAGGAAGGUGUGGAUGACGUCAAGUCAUCAUGCCCCUUACAUCCUGGGCUACACACGUACUACAAUGCUACGGACAAAGGGCAGCAAACUCGCGAGAGCUAGCAAAUCCCAUAAACCGUGGCUCAGUUCAGAUCGUAGGCUGCAACUCGCCUACGUGAAGGAGGAAUCGCUAGUAAUCGCAGGUCAGCAUACUGCGGUGAAUACGUUCCCGGGCCUUGUACACACCGCCCGU
This 295-nucleotide ribosomal RNA is filed under the name uncultured cyanobacterium. RNAcentral's name for it is "partial 16S ribosomal RNA". It matches the Rfam family "Bacterial small subunit ribosomal RNA", at positions 1101 to 1397 of the family's 1533-position model. The record is from RNAcentral. Lineage: Bacteria; Bacillati; Cyanobacteriota.